GAAAAACUCCCUUUGUUUGUAGGGCCAGGCCUCAAGCUCAUCAUCGUCAUCAUCGUCAGUGUUGUCAGACGUCAGGUGCCCCAGUCUGAAGUCAGCAGAUACUCCUCCUGUCUGGGCAAGCAGCACUGCCAGCAACGCCCUGGUGAUCCUAAGCCUCCUGAGUGCCACUCUUUGUGAGACUGCUAGCCAUGUUCGACAAAAGGAAUGUUUUU
Molecule: long non-coding RNA, 212 nt
Filed under: Gallus gallus (chicken)
Lineage: Eukaryota; Metazoa; Chordata; Aves; Galliformes; Phasianidae
Source: RNAcentral